UGUUUUGACUGGGCUUGUCCAGGGGUGUU
Molecule: non-coding RNA, 29 nt
Filed under: Homo sapiens (human)
Lineage: Eukaryota; Metazoa; Chordata; Mammalia; Primates; Hominidae
Source: RNAcentral